RNAcentral lists this ribosomal RNA (465 nucleotides) under uncultured bacterium. Its description in RNAcentral is "partial 16S ribosomal RNA". It matches the Rfam family "Bacterial small subunit ribosomal RNA", at positions 28 to 507 of the family's 1533-position model. The record is from RNAcentral.
GACGAACGCUGGCGGCGUGCUUAACACAUGCAAGUCGAGCGGAAAGGCCCCUUCGGGGGUACACGAGCGGCGAACGGGUGAGUAACACGUGAGCAAUCUACCCAUCACAUCGGGAUAACUCCGGGAAACCGAAGCUAAUACCGAAUACGACCACCUCCGGCAUCGGAUGGUGGUGGAAAGUUCCGGCGGUGAUGGAUGAGCUCGCGGCCUAUCAGCUUGUUGGUGGGGUAACGGCUCACCAAGGCUUCGACGGGUAGCCGGCCUGAGAGGGUGACCGGCCACACUGGGACUGAGACACGGCCCAGACUCCUACGGGAGGCAGCAGUGGGGAAUAUUGGACAAUGGGCGAAAGCCUGAUCCAGCAACGCCGCGUGAGGGAUGACGGCCUUCGGGUUGUAAACCUCUUUCAGCAGGGACGAAGCGCAAGUGACGGUACCUGCAGAAGAAGCACCGGCCAACUACGUG